GCGCUAUUAAUUUAAUUGGUAGAAUUAUGAUUUUGUAAGUCAUCCGAGAAAGUUCGAAUCUUUCAUGGCGCU
This 72-nucleotide transfer RNA is filed under the name Gloeotilopsis planctonica. RNAcentral's name for it is "tRNA-Thr". It matches the Rfam family "tRNA". From Rfam's summary of the family: Transfer RNA (tRNA) molecules are approximately 80 nucleotides in length. RNAcentral also lists the same sequence under 1 other name. Lineage: Eukaryota; Viridiplantae; Chlorophyta; Ulvophyceae; Ulotrichales; Ulotrichaceae. The record is from RNAcentral.